AGUUGGAAACGACUGUUAAUACCGCAUAAUGUCUACGGACCAAAGUGUGGGACCUUCGGGCCACAUGCUAUCGGAUGCGCCUACGUGGGAUUAGCUAGUUGGUGAGGUAAUGGCUCACCAAGGCGACGAUCUCUAGCUGGUUUGAGAGGAUGAUCAGCCACACUGGAACUGAGACACGGUCCAGACUCCUACGGGAGGCAGCAGUGGGGAAUAUUGGACAAUGGGCGCAAGCCUGAUCCAGCCAUGCCGCGUGUGUGAAGAAGGCCUUCGGGUUGUAAAGCACUUUCAGCGAGGAGGAAGGGUUGUGUGUUAAUAGCACGCAAUUUUGACGUUACUCGCAGAAGAAGCACCGGCUAACUCUGUGCCAGCAGCCGCGGUAAUACAGAGGGUGCAAGCGUUAAUCGGAAUUACUGGGCGUAAAGCGCACGCAGGCGGUUGGUUAAGUCAGAUGUGAAAGCCCCGGGCUCAACCUGGGAAUUGCAUUUGAAACUGGCCAACUAGAGUAUGUGAG
RNAcentral lists this ribosomal RNA (511 nucleotides) under uncultured bacterium. Its description in RNAcentral is "bacterial SSU rRNA". It matches the Rfam family "Bacterial small subunit ribosomal RNA", at positions 148 to 654 of the family's 1533-position model. The record is from RNAcentral.